Molecule: ribosomal RNA, 497 nt
Filed under: uncultured bacterium
Lineage: Bacteria
Description: partial 16S ribosomal RNA
Rfam family: Bacterial small subunit ribosomal RNA
Source: RNAcentral
GAUGAACGCUGGCGGCGUGCCUAAUACAUGCAAGUCGAGCGAACAGACGAGGAGCUUGCUCCUCUGACGUUAGCGGCGGACGGGUGAGUAACACGUGGAUAACCUACCUAUAAGACUGGGAUAACUUCGGGAAACCGGAGCUAAUACCGGAUAAUAUAUUGAACCGCAUGGUUCAAUAGUCAAAGACGGUUUUGCUGUCACUUAUAGAUGGAUCCGCGCCGCAUUAGCUAGUUGGUAAGGUAACGGCUUACCAAGGCGACGAUGCGUAGCCGACCUGAGAGGGUGAUCGGCCACACUGGAACUGAGACACGGUCCAGACUCCUACGGGAGGCAGCAGUAGGGAAUCUUCCGCAAUGGGCGAAAGCCUGACGGAGCAACGCCGCGUGAGUGAUGAAGGUCUUCGGAUCGUAAAACUCUGUUAUUAGGGAAGAACAAAUGUGUAAGUAACUAUGCACGUCUUGACGGUACCUAAUCAGAAAGCCACGGCUAACUACGUG